This 155-nucleotide ribosomal RNA is filed under the name Gluconobacter oxydans. RNAcentral describes it as "partial 16S rRNA". It matches the Rfam family "Bacterial small subunit ribosomal RNA", at positions 1211 to 1366 of the family's 1533-position model. RNAcentral also lists the same sequence under 1 other name. The record is from RNAcentral. Lineage: Bacteria; Pseudomonadati; Pseudomonadota; Alphaproteobacteria; Acetobacterales; Acetobacteraceae.
GGGCUACACACGUGCUACAAUGGCGGUGACAGUGGGAAGCUAUGUGGUGACACAGUGCUGAUCUCUAAAAGCCGUCUCAGUUCGGAUUGUACUCUGCAACUCGAGUACAUGAAGGUGGAAUCGCUAGUAAUCGCGGAUCAGCAUGCCGCGGUGAA